Molecule: ribosomal RNA, 253 nt
Filed under: uncultured bacterium
Lineage: Bacteria
Description: partial 16S ribosomal RNA
Rfam family: Bacterial small subunit ribosomal RNA
Source: RNAcentral
UACGUAGGGUGCGAGCGUUAAUCGGAAUUACUGGGCGUAAGGGGCGCGUAGGCGGUGUGUCAAGUCAGGCGUGAAAGCCCCGGGCUCAACCUGGGAACAGCGCUUGAGACUGGCACGCUCGAGUUCGGGAGAGGAUGGUGGAAUUCCCAGUGUAGAGGUGAAAUUCGUAGAUAUUGGGAAGAACACCGAUGGCGAAGGCAGCCAUCUGGACCGACACUGACGCUGAGGCGCGAAAGCGUGGGGAGCAAACAGG